This is a long non-coding RNA of Pocillopora damicornis (cauliflower coral), 201 nucleotides long. NCBI's taxonomy places the organism in Eukaryota, Metazoa, Cnidaria, Anthozoa, Scleractinia, Pocilloporidae. The record is from RefSeq and is a predicted model, not a curated record.
CAAAAUUGAGAAGCUUCACGAAGACCAGUUCCAGGGCUUGGUAGAGCUAUUCGAUUUAUAUCUCUCGGAGAACAAAAUAGACGCUCUGCCUGACAAAAUUUUCAAGGGUGUCAAAAGCCUUAAAGCUCUCAAUAUCUUCGGCAAUAAGAUACAAAACGUUAGCAGCACGACCUUCAGCUAUGCCCACGAACUGCGAUUUUU